Long non-coding RNA from Dipodomys spectabilis (banner-tailed kangaroo rat), 107 nucleotides. RefSeq lists it as uncharacterized. The transcript is spliced from 3 exons. The record is from RefSeq and is a predicted model, not a curated record. NCBI's taxonomy places the organism in Eukaryota, Metazoa, Chordata, Mammalia, Rodentia, Heteromyidae.
AUGCAAAGAACCCACUUUCCCUGCUUCUUAGCAUAUAAAACACUCUGUUCCUUAAAAUUGCUAUGCUAAUAACUUUUAUUUCUUAAAUCCAAACUCCAGCAUUUUGA